This 504-nucleotide small RNA is filed under the name Lissodendoryx sp. GW33530. RNAcentral's name for it is "partial large subunit ribosomal RNA". The record is from RNAcentral. Lineage: Eukaryota; Metazoa; Porifera; Demospongiae; Poecilosclerida; Coelosphaeridae.
AAAAGAACUUUGGAGAGAGAGUCAAAAAGACCGCGAAACCGUUAGGAGGGAAACGAAUGCGGCUGAAGUGGCUCCCCGUCAGGCUCAGGAGAGGUGGGGUGGGGCCCCCGCUGGGUGGCGGUUGCUUCCGCGCCCGGCGGGGUGGUCCCCCGACUGCUCUGCACUUCUGCGGGGAGCCGGCCAACGGCAGUUGCCUCCGGCCCAAGAGGGCGCCGUGGGGAGGUGGCCCUGCGCUCGCGCGGGGAGCUUACAGCCCGGCGUCAUUGGCGUUUUUUUCCGGAGUGCGACUGAGGAGAGCCUGCGAGUCCUUCGCACGCUGCAGCGUGGGCUUCCCCCGCUGGGCGACCGGCGGCUGGGAGGCUGGGCCGCUUCAGCCCGGUGGGUGGCCGCGUCGGCCACUGCGUGCAGUGGACCGUGCGACGGUUUCUGCCCGCCGGGAUGGAGGCUGGCCGCACCUCGCGCUGUGGUCGUUGGUGCCCGAAUGGCCGCAUCCGACCCGUCUUG